GUGCUUGCUAUGGUGGCACAUGUACUAAAAUUGGAAUGAUAUAGAGAAAAAUAUGGUCCUUAUGGAAAGAUGAAAUGCAGAUUCAGGAUGUGUUCCAUAUUAAA
RNAcentral lists this small nuclear RNA (104 nucleotides) under Chinchilla lanigera (long-tailed chinchilla). The record is from RNAcentral. Lineage: Eukaryota; Metazoa; Chordata; Mammalia; Rodentia; Chinchillidae.